Molecule: long non-coding RNA, 470 nt
Filed under: Zalophus californianus (California sea lion)
Lineage: Eukaryota; Metazoa; Chordata; Mammalia; Carnivora; Otariidae
Description: lncRNA (ENSZCAG00015004113.1)
Source: RNAcentral
CUUAGCGAUGUGGACAGGAGUCGAAGGACUAGAAUGAGAUCACUGAACUCAUUUCACUUGUUGCUUACGGUACAGUCCAGCAUGAGCUGGAAAUGUAGGAACCUCAGCCUCCCGAGCAGAAAGACAGUGGCUGACACUUUUCCUCCAUGCUUUGAGAGGAAGAGAAUUGGCUGGAAUAAAACCUUGCCUUCCACAUGGUCGACUUGAAAUACAGCAUUGAAAAGGACUCAGCUUCCUCUCAAAUAUAUGGAGGAUUGGACUCCCAGGCACAACCCAAUAGAAACAAAGGGCCUAAAGCAGCAUUUUACAACCUUGGCCCUGUUGACAUUUGGAGCCAGAUAAAUCUUUGUUGCUCAGGACCGUCCUGUACAUGGUAAGUUGUAUAGCAGCAUCUCUGACCUCUACCCAUUAAAUGCAACUUCUUCAGUCUUGACAACCCAAAAUGUCUCUAGACACUUCUACAUGUCCCC